UACGUAGGGUGCAAGCGUUGUCCGGAAUUAUUGGGCGUAAAGAGCUCGUAGGCGGUCUGUCGCGUCGGCUGUGAAAACCCGGGGCUCAACCCCGGGCCUGCAGUCGAUACGGGCAGACUAGAGUGCGGUAGGGGAGACUGGAAUUCCUGGUGUAGCGGUGAAAUGCGCAGAUAUCAGGAGGAACACCGGUGGCGAAGGCGGGUCUCUGGGCCGUAACUGACGCUGAGGCGCGAAAGCCAGGGGAGCAAACGGG
This 253-nucleotide ribosomal RNA is filed under the name uncultured bacterium. RNAcentral describes it as "partial 16S ribosomal RNA". It matches the Rfam family "Bacterial small subunit ribosomal RNA", at positions 524 to 776 of the family's 1533-position model. The record is from RNAcentral.